Molecule: ribosomal RNA, 391 nt
Filed under: uncultured Scuticociliatia
Lineage: Eukaryota; Ciliophora; Oligohymenophorea
Description: partial small subunit ribosomal RNA
Rfam family: Eukaryotic small subunit ribosomal RNA
Source: RNAcentral
GCUUGUCUCAAAGAUUAAGCCAUGCAUGUCUCAGUAUAAGCUUUUACACGGCGAAACUGCGAAUGGCUCAUUAAAACAGUUAUCGUUUCUUUGGUGGUUAUUGAUUACAUGGAUAACCGUGGUAAUUCUAGAGCUAAUACAUGCUAUCAAGCCCGACUUCUUGAAGGGUUGUAUUUAUUAGACUUAAGCCAAUAUUCCUUGUGUCUAUUGCGAUGAUUCAUAAUAACUGAUCGAAUCUCAAAUUUGAGAUAAAUCAUUCAAGUUUCUGCCCUAUCAGCUUUCGAUGGUAGUGUAUUGGACUACCAUGGCAGUAACGGGUAACGAAGAAUUAGGGUUCGAUUUCGGAGAGGGAGCAUGAGAAACGGCUACCACAUCUAAGGAAGGCAGCAGG